GGUUGCGAUCAUACCAGCACUAAUGCACCGGAUCCCAUCAGAACUCCGCAGUUAAGCGUGCUUGGGCGAGAGUAGUACUAGGAUGGGUGACCCCCUGGGAAGUCCUCGUGUUGCAACCCCCUUUUUUUUCGUUUUUUGGUUUAUUUUAUUUACCGGUCGAUGUUUCUUUGGCGUAGCAUGCGGGUGGCCGUUGAUGUGGGGAACGGGGCUACGGGGUGCCCGGAGGCGCGCUUUCGAUUAAACACGGUUUACCGUGCCGAAGGCUCGUCGGCGCGGGAGACGGAUAUGGGGAGACGGGCCCGCUCGUAGGCGUUGGACUGACGUGCCCUCAGUUUAUCGGAAAGCGUGAGAGCUUAUUGACGGGAGUGGCCGCUUUUGUCAAAGGAAGGCCAUGACGAAGGCGCGCGCGCGCACGGCGGGCCCGAGACGCGUAACGUAGGCCACACAUGAGAGCAUAGGUGGGCAUGGGAUCAAGGCGUGGAAAGGUAUAAAGGAAUAAGGAGCUUGUAUUCUUUCGGUUGCGAUCAUACCAGCACUAAUGCACCGGAUCCCAUCAGAACUCCGCAGUUAAGCGUGCUUGGGCGAGAGUAGUACUAGGAUGGGUGACCCCCUGGGAAGUCCUCGUGUUGCAACCCCCUUUUUUUUCGUUUUUUGGUUUAUUUUAUUUACCGGUCGAUGUUUCUUUGGCGUAGCAUGCGGGUGGCCGUUGAUGUGGGGAACGGGGCUACGGGGUGCCCGGAGGCGCGCUUUCGAUUAAACACGGUUUACCGUGCCGAAGGCUCGUCGGCGCGGGAGACGGAUAUGGGGAGACGGGCCCGCUCGUAGGCGUUGGACUGACGUGCCCUCAGUUUAUCGGAAAGCGUGAGAGCUUACUGACGGGAGUGGCCGCUUUUGUCAAAGGAAGGCCAUGACGAAGGCGCGCGCGCGCACGGCGGGCCCGAGACGCGUAACGUAGGCCACACAUGAGAGCAUAGGUGGGCAUGGGAUCAAGGCGUGGAAAGGUAUAAAGGAAUAAGGAGCUUGUAUUCUUUCGGUUGCGAUCAUACCAGCACUAAUGCACCGGAUCCCAUCAGAACUCCGCAGUUAAGCGUGCUUGGGCGAGAGUAGUACUAGGAUGGGUGACCCCCUGGGAAGUCCUCGUGUUGCAACCCCCUUUUUUUUCGUUUUUUGGUUUAUUUUAUUUACCGGUCGAUGUUUCUUUGGCGUAGCAUGCGGGUGGCCGUUGAUGUGGGGAACGGGGCUACGGGGUGCCCGGAGGCGCGCUUUCGAUUAAACACGGUUUACCGUGCCGAAGGCUCGUCGGCGCGGGAGACGGAUAUGGGGAGACGGGCCCGCUCGUAGGCGUUGGACUGACGUGCCCUCAGUUUAUCGGAAAGCGUGAGAGCUUAUUGACGGGAGUGGCCGCUUUUGUCAAAGGAAGGCCAUGACGAAGGCGCGCGCGCGCACGGCGGGCCCGAGACGCGUAACGUAGGCCACACAUGAGAGCAUAGGUGGGCAUGGGAUCAAGGCGUGGAAAGGUAUAAAGGAAUAAGGAGCUUGUAUUCUUUCGGUUGCGAUCAUACCAGCACUAAUGCACCGGAUCCCAUCAGAACUCCGCAGUUAAGCGUGCUUGGGCGAGAGUAGUACUAGGAUGGGUGACCCCCUGGGAAGUCCUCGUGUUGCAACCCCCUUUUUUUUCGUUUUUUGGUUUAUUUUAUUUACCGGUCGAUGUUUCUUUGGCGUAGCAUGCGGGUGGCCGUUGAUGUGGGGAACGGGGCUACGGGGUGCCCGGAGGCGCGCUUUCGAUUAAACACGGUUUACCGUGCCGAAGGCUCGUCGGCGCGGGAGACGGAUAUGGGGAGACGGGCCCGCUCGUAGGCGUUGGACUGACGUGCCCUCAGUUUAUCGGAAAGCGUGAGAGCUUAUUGACGGGAGUGGCCGCUUUUGUCAAAGGAAGGCCAUGACGAAGGCGCGCGCGCGCACGGCGGGCCCGAGACGCGUAACGUAGGCCACACAUGAGAGCAUAGGUGGGCAUGGGAUCAAGGCGUGGAAAGGUAUAAAGGAAUAAGGAGCUUGUAUUCUUUCGGUUGCGAUCAUACCAGCACUAAUGCACCGGAUCCCAUCAGAACUCCGCAGUUAAGCGUGCUUGGGCGAGAGUAGUACUAGGAUGGGUGACCCCCUGGGAAGUCCUCGUGUUGCAACCCCCUUUUUUUUCGUUUUUUGGUUUAUUUUAUUUACCGGUCGAUGUUUCUUUGGCGUAGCAUGCGGGUGGCCGUUGAUGUGGGGAACGGGGCUACGGGGUGCCCGGAGGCGCGCUUUCGAUUAAACACGGUUUACCGUGCCGAAGGCUCGUCGGCGCGGGAGACGGAUAUGGGGAGACGGGCCCGCUCGUAGGCGUUGGACUGACGUGCCCUCAGUUUAUCGGAAAGCGUGAGAGCUUAUUGACGGGAGUGGCCGCUUUUGUCAAAGGAAGGCCAUGACGAAGGCGCGCGCGCGCACGGCGGGCCCGAGACGCGUAACGUAGGCCACACAUGAGAGCAUAGGUGGGCAUGGGAUCAAGGCGUGGAAAGGUAUAAAGGAAUAAGGAGCUUGUAUUCUUUCGGUUGCGAUCAUACCAGCACUAAUGCACCGGAUCCCAUCAGAACUCCGCAGUUAAGCGUGCUUGGGCGAGAGUAGUACUAGGAUGGGUGACCCCCUGGGAAGUCCUCGUGUUGCAACCCCCUUUUUUUUCGUUUUUUGGUUUAUUUUAUUUACCGGUCGAUGUUUCUUUGGCGUAGCAUGCGGGUGGCCGUUGAUGUGGGGAACGGGGCUACGGGGUGCCCGGAGGCGCGCUUUCGAUUAAACACGGUUUACCGUGCCGAAGGCUCGUCGGCGCGGGAGACGGAUAUGGGGAGACGGGCCCGCUCGUAGGCGUUGGACUGACGUGCCCUCAGUUUAUCGGAAAGCGUGAGAGCUUAUUGACGGGAGUGGCCGCUUUUGUCAAAGGAAGGCCAUGACGAAGGCGCGCGCGCGCACGGCGGGCCCGAGACGCGUAACGUAGGCCACACAUGAGAGCAUAGGUGGGCAUGGGAUCAAGGCGUGGAAAGGUAUAAAGGAAUAAGGAGCUUGUAUUCUUUCGGUUGCGAUCAUACCAGCACUAAUGCACCGGAUCCCAUCAGAACUCCGCAGUUAAGCGUGCUUGGGCGAGAGUAGUACUAGGAUGGGUGACCCCCUGGGAAGUCCUCGUGUUGCAACCCCCUUUUUUUUCGUUUUUUGGUUUAUUUUAUUUACCGGUCGAUGUUUCUUUGGCGUAGCAUGCGGGUGGCCGUUGAUGUGGGGAACGGGGCUACGGGGUGCCCGGAGGCGCGCUUUCGAUUAAACACGGUUUACCGUGCCGAAGGCUCGUCGGCGCGGGAGACGGAUAUGGGGAGACGGGCCCGCUCGUAGGCGUUGGACUGACGUGCCCUCAGUUUAUCGGAAAGCGUGAGAGCUUAUUGACGGGAGUGGCCGCUUUUGUCAAAGGAAGGCCAUGACGAAGGCGCGCGCGCGCACGGCGGGCCCGAGACGCGUAACGUAGGCCACACAUGAGAGCAUAGGUGGGCAUGGGAUCAAGGCGUGGAAAGGUAUAAAGGAAUAAGGAGCUUGUAUUCUUUCGGUUGCGAUCAUACCAGCACUAAUGCACCGGAUCCCAUCAGAACUCCGCAGUUAAGCGUGCUUGGGCGAGAGUAGUACUAGGAUGGGUGACCCCCUGGGAAGUCCUCGUGUUGCAACCCCCUUUUUUUUCGUUUUUUGGUUUAUUUUAUUUACCGGUCGAUGUUUCUUUGGCGUAGCAUGCGGGUGGCCGUUGAUGUGGGGAACGGGGCUACGGGGUGCCCGGAGGCGCGCUUUCGAUUAAACACGGUUUACCGUGCCGAAGGCUCGUCGGCGCGGGAGACGGAUAUGGGGAGACGGGCCCGCUCGUAGGCGUUGGACUGACGUGCCCUCAGUUUAUCGGAAAGCGUGAGAGCUUAUUGACGGGAGUGGCCGCUUUUGUCAAAGGAAGGCCAUGACGAAGGCGCGCGCGCGCACGGCGGGCCCGAGACGCGUAACGUAGGCCACACAUGAGAGCAUAGGUGGGCAUGGGAUCAAGGCGUGGAAAGGUAUAAAGGAAUAAGGAGCUUGUAUUCUUUCGGUUGCGAUCAUACCAGCACUAAUGCACCGGAUCCCAUCAGAACUCCGCAGUUAAGCGUGCUUGGGCGAGAGUAGUACUAGGAUGGGUGACCCCCUGGGAAGUCCUCGUGUUGCAACCCCCUUUUUUUUCGUUUUUUGGUUUAUUUUAUUUACCGGUCGAUGUUUCUUUGGCGUAGCAUGCGGGUGGCCGUUGAUGUGGGGAACGGGGCUACGGGGUGCCCGGAGGCGCGCUUUCGAUUAAACACGGUUUACCGUGCCGAAGGCUCGUCGGCGCGGGAGACGGAUAUGGGGAGACGGGCCCGCUCGUAGGCGUUGGACUGACGUGCCCUCAGUUUAUCGGAAAGCGUGAGAGCUUAUUGACGGGAGUGGCCGCUUUUGUCAAAGGAAGGCCAUGACGAAGGCGCGCGCGCGCACGGCGGGCCCGAGACGCGUAACGUAGGCCACACAUGAGAGCAUAGGUGGGCAUGGGAUCAAGGCGUGGAAAGGUAUAAAGGAAUAAGGAGCUUGUAUUCUUUCGGUUGCGAUCAUACCAGCACUAAUGCACCGGAUCCCAUCAGAACUCCGCAGUUAAGCGUGCUUGGGCGAGAGUAGUACUAGGAUGGGUGACCCCCUGGGAAGUCCUCGUGUUGCAACCCCCUUUUUUUUCGUUUUUUGGUUUAUUUUAUUUACCGGUCGAUGUUUCUUUGGCGUAGCAUGCGGGUGGCCGUUGAUGUGGGGAACGGGGCUACGGGGUGCCCGGAGGCGCGCUUUCGAUUAAACACGGUUUACCGUGCCGAAGGCUCGUCGGCGCGGGAGACGGAUAUGGGGAGACGGGCCCGCUCGUAGGCGUUGGACUGACGUGCCCUCAGUUUAUCGGAAAGCGUGAGAGCUUAUUGACGGGAGUGGCCGCUUUUGUCAAAGGAAGGCCAUGACGAAGGCGCGCGCGCGCACGGCGGGCCCGAGACGCGUAACGUAGGCCACACAUGAGAGCAUAGGUGGGCAUGGGAUCAAGGCGUGGAAAGGUAUAAAGGAAUAAGGAGCUUGUAUUCUUUCGGUUGCGAUCAUACCAGCACUAAUGCACCGGAUCCCAUCAGAACUCCGCAGUUAAGCGUGCUUGGGCGAGAGUAGUACUAGGAUGGGUGACCCCCUGGGAAGUCCUCGUGUUGCAACCCCCUUUUUUUCGUUUUUUGGUUUAUUUUAUUUACCGGUCGAUGUUUCUUUGGCGUAGCAUGCGGGUGGCCGUUGAUGUGGGGAACGGGGCUACGGGGUGCCCGGAGGCGCGCUUUCGAUUAAACACGGUUUACCGUGCCGAAGGCUCGUCGGCGCGGGAGACGGAUAUGGGGAGACGGGCCCGCUCGUAGGCGUUGGACUGACGUGCCCUCAGUUUAUCGGAAAGCGUGAGAGCUUAUUGACGGGAGUGGCCGCUUUUGUCAAAGGAAGGCCAUGACGAAGGCGCGCGCGCGCACGGCGGGCCCGAGACGCGUAACGUAGGCCACACAUGAGAGCAUAGGUGGGCAUGGGAUCAAGGCGUGGAAAGGUAUAAAGGAAUAAGGAGCUUGUAUUCUUUCGGUUGCGAUCAUACCAGCACUAAUGCACCGGAUCCCAUCAGAACUCCGCAGUUAAGCGUGCUUGGGCGAGAGUAGUACUAGGAUGGGUGACCCCCUGGGAAGUCCUCGUGUUGCAACCCCCUUUUUUUUCGUUUUUUGGUUUAUUUUAUUUACCGGUCGAUGUUUCUUUGGCGUAGCAUGCGGGUGGCCGUUGAUGUGGGGAACGGGGCUACGGGGUGCCCGGAGGCGCGCUUUCGAUUAAACACGGUUUACCGUGCCGAAGGCUCGUCGGCGCGGGAGACGGAUAUGGGGAGACGGGCCCGCUCGUAGGCGUUGGACUGACGUGCCCUCAGUUUAUCGGAAAGCGUGAGAGCUUAUUGACGGGAGUGGCCGCUUUUGUCAAAGGAAGGCCAUGACGAAGGCGCGCGCGCGCACGGCGGGCCCGAGACGCGUAACGUAGGCCACACAUGAGAGCAUAGGUGGGCAUGGGAUCAAGGCGUGGAAAGGUAUAAAGGAAUAAGGAGCUUGUAUUCUUUCGGUUGCGAUCAUACCAGCACUAAUGCACCGGAUCCCAUCAGAACUCCGCAGUUAAGCGUGCUUGGGCGAGAGUAGUACUAGGAUGGGUGACCCCCUGGGAAGUCCUCGUGUUGCAACCCCCUUUUUUUUCGUUUUUUGGUUUAUUUUAUUUACCGGUCGAUGUUUCUUUGGCGUAGCAUGCGGGUGGCCGUUGAUGUGGGGAACGGGGCUACGGGGUGCCCGGAGGCGCGCUUUCGAUUAAACACGGUUUACCGUGCCGAAGGCUCGUCGGCGCGGGAGACGGAUAUGGGGAGACGGGCCCGCUCGUAGGCGUUGGACUGACGUGCCCUCAGUUUAUCGGAAAGCGUGAGAGCUUAUUGACGGGAGUGGCCGCUUUUGUCAAAGGAAGGCCAUGACGAAGGCGCGCGCGCACGGCGGGCCCGAGACGCGUAACGUAGGCCACACAUGAGAGCAUAGGUGGGCAUGGGAUCAAGGCGUGGAAAGGUAUAAAGGAAUAAGGAGCUUGUAUUCUUUCGGUUGCGAUCAUACCAGCACUAAUGCACCGGAUCCCAUCAGAACUCCGCAGUUAAGCGUGCUUGGGCGAGAGUAGUACUAGGAUGGGUGACCCCCUGGGAAGUCCUCGUGUUGCAACCCCC
RNAcentral lists this long non-coding RNA (6826 nucleotides) under Helianthus annuus (common sunflower). Lineage: Eukaryota; Viridiplantae; Streptophyta; Magnoliopsida; Asterales; Asteraceae. The record is from RNAcentral.